GUCUUGCAAUUGGAUUGAGAACAAUGUACAACUCUUAUCGAUAAGCCAUUGGAGGGCAAGUCUGGUGCCAGCAGCCGCGGUAAUUCCAGCUCCAAUAGCGUAUAUUAACGUUGUUGCAGUUAAAAAGCUCGUAGUUGAAGUGUGGGUGAUCGCUGUUGUGAGACUUCGGUCUCUCGACAGUAAGUCACCCCCUUCCAGUAUCCAGUAGUGGGUAUUCAGUUACUUACUAUUGUGUGUUGGUCGUUUACUGUGAGAAAAUUAGAGUGUUCAAAGCAGGCGUUUGCUUGAAUAGAUUAGCAUGGAAUAAUAAUUGAAGGCUUUCGUGUUCGAUUUGAUUGGUUUGUUCAUGGAAGCAAGGUUAAAAGGAACAGUUGGGGGUAUUCAUAUUCACUAGUUAGAGGUGAAAUUCUCGGAUUUAUGGAAGAUGAACAA
This 432-nucleotide ribosomal RNA is filed under the name Blastocystis sp. subtype 1. Its description in RNAcentral is "SSU rRNA". It matches the Rfam family "Eukaryotic small subunit ribosomal RNA", at positions 500 to 942 of the family's 1831-position model. Lineage: Eukaryota; Bigyra; Opalinata; Blastocystidae. The record is from RNAcentral.